AGAGUUUGAUCAUGGCUCAGGACGAACGCUGGCGGCGUGCCUAAUACAUGCAAGUCGAGCGGAUCUUGUCCUUCGGGACAAGGUUAGCGGCGGACGGGUGAGUAACACGUAGGCAACCUGCCCUCAAGACUGGGAUAACCUCCGGAAACGGAUGCUAAUACCGGAUAUGCGGUUUCUCCUCCUGGAGAGACCGGGAAAGACGGAGCAAUCUGUCGCUUGGGGAUGGGCCUGCGGCGCAUUAGCUAGUUGGUGAGGUAACGGCUCACCAAGGCGACGAUGCGUAGCCGACCUGAGAGGGUGAUCGGCCACACUGGGACUGAGACACGGCCCAGACUCCUACGGGAGGCAGCAGUAGGGAAUCUUCCGCAAUGGACGCAAGUCUGACGGAGCAACGCCGCGUGAGUGAGGAAGGCCUUCGGGUCGUAAAGCUCUGUUGCCAGGGAAGAACGGGUGGAAGAGUAACUGCUUCCGCCAUGACGGUACCUGAGAAGAAAGCCCCGGCUAACUACGUGCCAGCAGCCGCGGUAAUACGUAGGGGGCAAGCGUUUGUCCGGAAUUAUUGGGCGUAGAGCGCGCGCAGGCGGCCUUUGUAAGUCCGGUGUUUAAUCUUGGGGCUCAACCCCAAGUCGCACGGGAAACUGCAAGGCUUGAGUGCAGAAGAGGAAAGUGGAAUUCCACGUGUAGCGGUGAAAUGCGUAGAGAUGUGGAGGAACACCAGUGGCGAAGGCGACUUUCUGGGCUGUAACUGACGCUGAGGCGCGAAAGCGUGGGGAGCAAACAGGAUUAGAUACCCCUGGUAGUCCACGGCGGUAAAACGAUGAAAUGCUAGGUGCUUAAGGGGUUUACGGAUAACCUCCUUGGGUGCCGAAAGUUUAACACGAAUAAAGCAUUUUCCGCCCUGGGGGGAAGUUACGCUCGGCAAGAAGGUGAAAAUACUCGAAAGGAAAUUUGACUGGGGGGACCCCUCAACCAGGUAGUGUGAAUUAUUGGUGGUUUGAAUUCACA
This 1005-nucleotide ribosomal RNA is filed under the name uncultured Paenibacillus sp. Its description in RNAcentral is "bacterial SSU rRNA". The stretch from base 2 to 898 matches the Rfam family "Bacterial small subunit ribosomal RNA", at positions 9 to 873 of the family's 1533-position model. The record is from RNAcentral. Lineage: Bacteria; Bacillati; Bacillota; Bacilli; Caryophanales; Paenibacillaceae.